UGACUUACCUGGCAGGGGGAAUACCAUGAUCAAAAAGGUGGUUUCCCCAGGGCGAGGCUCUUCCAUUGUACAGAAACUUUAUUGUAUUGCUGUUACUAAAUGUCAGUUAAGAAAGAGUGUGGUCUUCCUGCAUGUGGACUAUGCUGUCAUUUGGAUGUGGCAAA
Small nuclear RNA from Protopterus annectens (West African lungfish), 164 nucleotides. RefSeq annotates it as U1 spliceosomal RNA. The record is from RefSeq and is a predicted model, not a curated record. Lineage: Eukaryota; Metazoa; Chordata; Ceratodontiformes; Protopteridae. The transcript has a single exon.